Setaria italica (foxtail millet) is the source of this 849-nucleotide long non-coding RNA. RefSeq lists it as uncharacterized. Lineage: Eukaryota; Viridiplantae; Streptophyta; Magnoliopsida; Poales; Poaceae. The record is from RefSeq and is a predicted model, not a curated record. The transcript is spliced from 2 exons.
GCUUCACCAGUACUGAACGAACUUGCACUACAUCCGGCAGUUUAUACUUUUGCACUGGAGCUAACCAUUCUGUUACCAAGUCUAUACGGCAUGGGCACGCGGGUUGCUUGUCAACAUCUAUUUUUUAUAGAUUUCUCACAGUUGUGCCUGGUGGAAUCGUUGAGAUUACCUGGAAUCUAGGACACCGAAAUGCUCAGGAAAAUGUCAUAAAAUGCUCAGGCAGAGACCAGAUGAAGUCGUGACGACAGUGUUGUUGCCAGGGACAUAAGUUAAAUCAUAUAUAGCUCCUCCUCUUGUGUUCCUACCGCUGCACUUGGUUCCUCUUUGAUACAUCACACUAAAACCUUGCUCAAAAGAAUUUUCAGUUGAUCUUUGGAUAUUGCACUUAGUUGCAUGAAACCUUGCCUGUCCAAUUAUGCUCUGUUCUAUAAAAAGUUUUGUAAAUUAAUAGUAGUGUUCUGUUUUCAUCCAGUGUCUAAUUGUGUUGAUUUAUUUCUGCAGUAAUAUCUGUCGCAUCAGUAUUUCGUACAACCAAGGGAACGAAAGGAGAUUGACAUUAAGAUUUAUGACACCGAUAAUGCCAAACACCAAGGUGACUGGGAACCGAGAAGGGCCACAAUCUGUGGAAGUGCAUAGGAGCUGAAUAGGAUGUAUGACCUGCACGGCUUGCAUAGUUGCAGUUUUGGUUUCAUAUGGGCUGUCAAUUUAGAUAUAAAGUCGUGAAUGUUCCUUGGCCACAGAACUAAAGUCUUGCGCAUGCCGUUCUUCACACACUUCUGUUGAUAACCACACGGCAAUCCAAAAUUGAAUACGACCUCUGUGGAUGAUAACCUUUGAGCAUACAUGAAG